GGUAGGUGAACCUGCCGUUGGAUCAGU
Molecule: ribosomal RNA, 27 nt
Filed under: Trichomonas gallinae
Lineage: Eukaryota; Parabasalia; Trichomonadida; Trichomonadidae
Also listed under: 4 other names
Description: partial 18S small subunit ribosomal RNA
Source: RNAcentral